Molecule: long non-coding RNA, 262 nt
Organism: Patiria miniata (bat star)
Lineage: Eukaryota; Metazoa; Echinodermata; Asteroidea; Valvatida; Asterinidae
Exons: 2
Source: RefSeq, a predicted model, not a curated record
CAGAGACAACUUCAUAGUAUACUGGUAUCUUAUGUUCCUCCUAACUGGAGUGGUGUGUCCUGUUUGAGCUCUGUCUGCUCGAGUCAUUUGAUUUUAUUCCUGCUUGAGUGUUCUUUGAAAGAUCCACUAUUCACACUGUGUUGGUUUUUUGGUUUUAGUCUUUGGUUUUUAGGUUUUAUUCUUUGCUUUUAGUUUCUGGUUUUUGGUUUAAGGUUCUUGUGAAUAAAUUCUUUUUGGUCCUUUCUUUGUUCGAAAUCUAGAA